UCGAUAAGAUUACCGCCCUAGUUUUAACCGUAAACUAUACCAACCAUCAAUCCGUCGACGCGUUCCCUUACUCCCGGCGUAUUCGCGGCGGCUUCGCGGUCGUUCGUGGUGCGUCGUGGACAAGUGUAAGCUCGAUGGGCAGUUCCUUUCGAACGGAAAACCAGAGUUUUUCGGUUCCGGGGGGAGUCUGGUUGCAAAGCUGAAACUUAAAGGAAUUGACGGAAAGGCACCACCAGGCGUGGAGCUUGCGGCUCAAUUUGACUCAACACGGGAAAUCUCACCAGACCCGAACAUCUUUGAUGACUGACAGACUGAAAGCUCUUUCUCAAUAAAGUGGAUGGUGGUGCAUGGCCGUUCUUAGUUGGUGGAGUGAUCUGUCUGGUUAAUUCCGAUACGAAAACGAGACAUAAUUCCGAAUACGAACGAGACUCUCCCCUGCUAACGAACCUUGGUGUUCUUGUAGACAGUGUGAUUCGAAUCAAGAGUUUGACUGGUAACGGUCUUAUCUCGGACGUUGUCCACUGAUCCCUGUUGCGAUUAGUGGAGCGGGUUUCUUCGUGUCUUGGUUAGUCUCGUACUGCCUUGGCGCGUGUUUCCUUGCGACGCUAAUUCGUGGCUCGGAGUACGUUUCUUCUUAGAGGGAUUGACGACUUAUAAGUCGUAAGAGACAGAGAGCAAUAACAGGUCUGUGAUGCCCUUAGAUGUUCUGGGCUGCACGCGUGUUACAAUGCCGGAGUCAACGGGUUAUCACGCUUCAUCGCGUCCUACUCUGAGAAGAGUGGGUAAACCUCUGAAACUCCUAACACGUUGCUAAAAGCCUCGGUUUUUAACGCGUACUACGGCUUGCUUGGGACUGGGGAUUGCAACUAUUCCCCACGAACGAGGAAUGCCUUGUAGUGGCGAGUCACAGAGCUCGCUGCGACUCUGUCCCUGCCUUUUGUAUCA
This 945-nucleotide ribosomal RNA is filed under the name Vibilia cultripes. RNAcentral's name for it is "bacterial SSU rRNA". It matches the Rfam family "Eukaryotic small subunit ribosomal RNA", at positions 1004 to 1666 of the family's 1831-position model. Lineage: Eukaryota; Metazoa; Arthropoda; Malacostraca; Amphipoda; Vibiliidae. The record is from RNAcentral.